RNAcentral lists this ribosomal RNA (570 nucleotides) under Vibrio parahaemolyticus. Its description in RNAcentral is "bacterial SSU rRNA". It matches the Rfam family "Bacterial small subunit ribosomal RNA", at positions 888 to 1452 of the family's 1533-position model. The record is from RNAcentral. Lineage: Bacteria; Pseudomonadati; Pseudomonadota; Gammaproteobacteria; Vibrionales; Vibrionaceae.
GCAAGAUUAAAACUCAAAUGAAAUAGACGGGGGCCCCGCACAAGCGGUGGAGCAUGUGGUUUAAUUCGAUGCAACGCGAAGAACCUUACCUACUCUUGACAUCCAGAGAACUUUCCAGAGAUGGAUUGGUGCCUUCGGGAACUCUGAGACAGGUGCUGCAUGGCUGUCGUCAGCUCGUGUUGUGAAAUGUUGGGUUAAGUCCCGCAACGAGCGCAACCCUUAUCCUUGUUUGCCAGCGAGUAAUGUCGGGAACUCCAGGGAGACUGCCGGUGAUAAACCGGAGGAAGGUGGGGACGACGUCAAGUCAUCAUGGCCCUUACGAGUAGGGCUACACACGUGCUACAAUGGCGCAUACAGAGGGCGGCCAACUUGCGAAAGUGAGCGAAUCCCAAAAAGUGCGUCGUAGUCCGGAUUGGAGUCUGCAACUCGACUCCAUGAAGUCGGAAUCGCUAGUAAUCGUGGAUCAGAAUGCCACGGUGAAUACGUUCCCGGGCCUUGUACACACCGCCCGUCCCCCCAUGGGAGUGGGCUGCAAAAGAAGUAGUAUGAGUUUAACCUUUGGGGCGACGC